GUUAACUGCGUGGAGCGAGCGGAGUGAAGACGGGGGGUGCUGUGGGUAAAGGGAAGUAGUGGGAGUAAAGCGUAGGAGGGCGGUCGGGCAAGGAGGAUGUGGAAGCCCCGGGCUCAGCCUGGGAACGGCAUUCGAAACCGGCAGGCUAGAGUCUGGUAGAUGGGGGUAGAAUUCCAGGAGUAGCGGGGAAAUGCGUAGAGAUGUGGAGGAAGACCGAGGGCGAAGGCGGCCCCCUGGAAUAAGACUGACGCGCAGGGACGAAAGCGUGGGGAGCAAACAGGAUUAGAUACCCGAGUAGUC
RNAcentral lists this ribosomal RNA (300 nucleotides) under uncultured Lactobacillus sp. Its description in RNAcentral is "bacterial SSU rRNA". The stretch from base 52 to 300 matches the Rfam family "Bacterial small subunit ribosomal RNA", at positions 547 to 795 of the family's 1533-position model. The record is from RNAcentral. Lineage: Bacteria; Bacillati; Bacillota; Bacilli; Lactobacillales; Lactobacillaceae.